UGGGGAAUAUUGCACAAUGGGCGCAAGCCUGAUGCAGCCAUGCCGCGUGUAUGAAGAAGGCCUUCGGGUUGUAAAGUACUUUCAGCGAGGAGGAAGGCGUUGUGGUUAAUAACCGCAGCGAUUGACGUUACUCGCAGAAGAAGCACCGGCUAACUCCGUGCCAGCAGCCGCGGUAAUACGGAGGGUGCAAGCGUUAAUCGGAAUUACUGGGUGUAAAGCGCACGCAGGCGGUCUGUCAAGUCGGAUGUGAAAUCCCCGGGCUCAACCUGGGAACUGCAUCCGAAACUGGCAGGCUAGAGUCUUGUAGAGGGGGGUAGAAUUCCAGGUGUAGCGGUGAAAUGCGUAGAGAUCUGGAGGAAUACCGGUGGCGAAGGCGGCCCCCUGGACAAAGACUGACGCUCAGGUGCGAAAGCGUGGGUAGCAAACA
RNAcentral lists this ribosomal RNA (427 nucleotides) under uncultured bacterium. RNAcentral describes it as "partial 16S ribosomal RNA". It matches the Rfam family "Bacterial small subunit ribosomal RNA", at positions 355 to 774 of the family's 1533-position model. The record is from RNAcentral.